Molecule: ribosomal RNA, 446 nt
Filed under: uncultured bacterium
Lineage: Bacteria
Description: partial 16S ribosomal RNA
Rfam family: Bacterial small subunit ribosomal RNA
Source: RNAcentral
CCUACGGUGCGCAGCAGUCGAGAAUCAUUCACAAUGGGGGAAACCCUGAUGGUGCGACGCCGCGUGGGGGAAUGAAGGUCUUCGGAUUGUAAACCCCUGUCAUGUGGGAGCAAAUUAAAAAGAUAGUACCACAAGAGGAAGAGACGGCUAACUCUGUGCCAGCAGCCGCGGUAAUACAGAGGUCUCAAGCGUUGUUCGGAAUCACUGGGCGUAAAGCGUGCGUAGGCUGUUUCGUAAGUCGUGUGUGAAAGGCGCGGGCUCAACCCGCGGACGGCACAUGAUACUGCGAGACUAGAGUAAUGGAGGGGGAACCGGAAUUCUCGGUGUAGCAGUGAAAUGCGUAGAUAUCGAGAGGAACACUCGUGGUGAAGGCGGGUUCCUGGACAUUAACUGACGCUGAGGCACGAAGGCCAGGGGAGCGAAAGGGAUUAGAUACCCCAGUAGUC